GGCCCCGUAGCUCAGAUGGAUAGAGCGUUCGCCUUCUAAGCGAAAUGCCGCAGGUUCGAGUCCUGCCGGGGUCGCCA
Molecule: transfer RNA, 77 nt
Filed under: compost metagenome
Description: tRNA-Arg
Rfam family: tRNA
About the family: Transfer RNA (tRNA) molecules are approximately 80 nucleotides in length. Their secondary structure includes four short double-helical elements and three loops (D, anti-codon, and T loops).
Source: RNAcentral